CGUCAUCAAGCGUAGUAUCUACAAGCAAAGGCCAAACAAAUAUGACACCUAAGAAUAUGAGUGAAAAGUCAAGCCCCUGGUAGUGCAACUGAAGUAUGUAAGGGCCGUAAUGAUGUUAUUGUUGAUAAUGUUCCAUCAACUAAGGCUCAUGAAGUUGGAUAAUGAUGAAUCAGACAUGGUCAAUAAUGCGAAGGUUAUGGUCAAGUCUUCCUCGCAGCCAAGCACGUAAUAGGACCAAUAAGAACCAGCAGAAGCGUCAUCCUAUCAUGGUCGAGUUAUUAACCACUGGAAACCUCUACUAUGUUAUAGAUGGUCCUACGAAAACAAACUCUUUGUCACAAUAGGCUAAGGUCCACGUACAAUCUUCACUCAUUUCACGGGGCAAUUCUUAUGGUCCAGGUGGUAUGACCGGCAGGGCAGAAUAUAGACAUGAAAAAUAUGGGUUUUACGCACCUACUGGAUCUGCAAUUGAGAGUUUUCCCAAAGAGUCGAGGGGUGGCUAUGAAAAACAUAAUAAUAAUAAGCAAGGAAAAGCACAUGGCAUGUGUAGGUAACGGGUUUCAACCGAAUUGAUACAGUAUACUGCCAUUACUAGGCCUUUUCAAAUGAUAACAACUUCAGUUGGGAUAGCUGAUUUCAGAAGUGUUGAUUUCUACUGAUAUGCUACAAUUGUUCACUUCUUAGAGUCAUUCCACGACUGCAAAUAUAGACGUGAUGAAAAUCAAUUGUACAUAUUUUCUGCUGAUACGGUUCCUAGAUGGCUAACUGCAGCUUAACAUGUAGAUUUUCACACACUGGCAGCAGCUGAUAAGUUUGGGAAUAUCUACUUUGUGAGAUUACCUCAGGACGUCUCAGAUGAGAUUUAAGUUGAUCCUACUGGUGGAAAGAUAAAAUGGGAGCAGGGUAAGGGGAAGCUUAAUGGAUCCCCAAACAAGGUUGAAUGAAUAGUGGGAUUUCAUGUUGGUGAUUUGGUCUCUUGCCUACAAAGGGCAUCACUUAUUCUAGGAGGGGCCGAAUGUAUAAUCUACAGGACUGUGAUGGGUCGCUUCGGGGAAAUGUUUCCAUUUACAUCCAGGGAUGAUGUUGAAUUCUUCACUCAUUUGAAGAUGCAUUUAAGGAAAGAGUUUCCACCUUUAUCUGGCAGGGAUCACAUGGCCUACAGAUCUGCCUAUUUGUCAGUUUAGGUAGCUGAAGAAGCAAACCUUGGAUACAUGUGAAGUUGGCGACUUGUCUAGAAUAGAGCGAGGUGUUCAACUGAAGUUGCUGCUUUAAAGUUUGAUUUUGCUCGACUUCCAAAUGCCUCAAAAUAGCACCAAGUAUAUCAGUUGUACCAACAAUUAGAGCAAGGUUGCAGACUGGUUCCUACCAGCUGCAGCAGCAAACUUGUCUGCUGCCUACACGGGUACAUUUUUUUAUCAACUUAGACACUUCAUACGUAUAUCAUCGAUAUGAAGAAAAACCAUAUAAGUAUCAUACAUUUUCUUUUAGAGGAUUGAUUUUCCAAAUAUUCAAUCAACUAAUAGUUUUUAUCUCAAACAAUUACUUAUUUUCUUAAUUUUACUUUUUUUUCCCAACUUAAAAACUUUAUGAAAUAUUAA
Capsicum annuum is the source of this 1598-nucleotide long non-coding RNA. RefSeq lists it as uncharacterized. Lineage: Eukaryota; Viridiplantae; Streptophyta; Magnoliopsida; Solanales; Solanaceae. The record is from RefSeq and is a predicted model, not a curated record. The transcript has 3 exons.